CAUUGAAAGAGAGACAAAUGAAAAAGUAUCCAUGCCUUUUGAACUUUUUCACAUUUUGUCACACUACAACCACAAACACUAGUGUAUCUUAUUGAAAUUUUAUGGGGUAAUCUGGCACAAAAACAUGGCAUAAAUGAAUUAAAAGGAAAAUUAUGCAUAGUUUUCAAACUUUUUUAUAACUGAAAAGUGUGGUGCAAGUUUGAAUUAUAAACUUAAACCACUGAAGAGGAAAGCUAUUGUUAAAAGAACAACACAAGCCAUGCAGGAGACAAACAAACAAAAAAACGCUGUGGUCAAAGGAGCCUAACCCUAAAAAUUAUGCCUUUAUUUAAAAUUCUAUCUAUGUGUGAUGGAAAUAUAAUUCUCCAUUUCACUCUAAACAUCCCUGGUAGAUAUUGACCCUUUGCACGUGACGUCACGAUCUCCCGAACUCCGCCCACUCCGCCAUGACGGACGUUAAAACAACAUACGCUCCUUUAGGGUAGUCUAAAAACAGACAUCUGACAAAUGUCUCUUCUAUUUAGUUGGUUUCUCUUUAAAAACUGUCAUAGGGUUCUGCGCGGUCGGCUGCUCAAACAUACAAGUGUGGAAAAUCAAACUUGUCAUUUUAUUGUACAACUUUUAAUGAGGAAAGAUAAAAUGGCUAUGGAUAGCAGCCGUUUAGUAAUAAUGACCGUCAGCCGUCAAUCAUAACGACUGGCAGCCCUCGGUGUAAUCACGGAUUUACGGCGAACACUUUUUACAAGUUCUGCCGUUGACGCAGGCCUCCCCGAGGACAGUUACCAGACCAUCAGGCUUCAUCUUCAGAUACUCGACCAGCUGAACAGGCAGAGGAAGUUCCAGGUCUGCUUGACGUACUCCCUCAGCAUGUUCUCCCUCAUUUUGUCGAAAACGCCGACCUUUACGGGCAUCUCCG
Molecule: non-coding RNA, 916 nt
Organism: Poecilia reticulata (guppy)
Lineage: Eukaryota; Metazoa; Chordata; Actinopteri; Cyprinodontiformes; Poeciliidae
Source: RefSeq, a predicted model, not a curated record